UACGGAAGGCAGCAGUGGGGAAUAUUGCACAAUGGGCGAAAGCCUGAUGCAGCUAUGCCGCGUGUAUGAAGAAGGCCUUAGGGUUGUAAAGUACUUUCAUCGGGAAGGAAAAACAAAACUAAUAAUUUUAUUUCUUGACGUUACCCGAAAAAGAAGCACCGGCUAACUCCGUGCCAGCAGCCGCGGUAAUACGGAGGGUGCUAGCGUUAAUCAGAAUUACUGGGCGUAAAGAGCACGUAGGUGGUUUUUUUAAGUCAGAUGUGAAAUCCCUGGGCUUAACCUAGGAACUGCAUUUUGAAACUGAAAUACUAGAGUAUCGUAGAGGGAGGUAGAAUUCUAGGUGUAGCGGUGAAAUGCGUAGAUAUCUGGAGGAAUACCUGUGGCGAAAGCGGCCUCCUAAACGAAUACUGACACUGAGGUGCGAAAGCGUGGGGAGCAAAACAGGGAUUAGAUACC
This 456-nucleotide ribosomal RNA is filed under the name uncultured bacterium. RNAcentral describes it as "bacterial SSU rRNA". It matches the Rfam family "Bacterial small subunit ribosomal RNA", at positions 340 to 786 of the family's 1533-position model. The record is from RNAcentral.